RNAcentral lists this ribosomal RNA (492 nucleotides) under uncultured bacterium. RNAcentral's name for it is "partial 16S ribosomal RNA". It matches the Rfam family "Bacterial small subunit ribosomal RNA", at positions 29 to 507 of the family's 1533-position model. The record is from RNAcentral.
AGUGAACGCUGGCGGUAGGCCUAACACAUGCAAGUCGAACGGCAGCACAGUAAGAGCUUGCUCUUACGGGUGGCGAGUGGCGGACGGGUGAGGAAUGCAUCGGAAUCUACUUUUUCGUGGGGGAUAACGUAGGGAAACUUACGCUAAUACCGCAUACGACCUACGGGUGAAAGCAGGGGAUCUUCGGACCUUGCGCGAUUGAAUGAGCCGAUGUCGGAUUAGCUAGUUGGCGGGGUAAAGGCCCACCAAGGCGACGAUCCGUAGCUGGUCUGAGAGGAUGAUCAGCCACACUGGAACUGAGACACGGUCCAGACUCCUACGGGAGGCAGCAGUGGGGAAUAUUGGACAAUGGGCGCAAGCCUGACCCAGCCAUACCGCGUGGGUGAAGAAGGCCUUCGGGUUGUAAAGCCCUUUUGUUGGGAAAGAAAAGCAGCAGGUUAAUACCCCGCUGUUCUGACGGUACCCAAAGAAUAAGCACCGGCUAACUUCGUG